RNAcentral lists this unclassified non-coding RNA (119 nucleotides) under uncultured Archaeorhizomyces. RNAcentral describes it as "sequence contains ITS1". The record is from RNAcentral. Lineage: Eukaryota; Fungi; Ascomycota; Archaeorhizomycetes; Archaeorhizomycetales; Archaeorhizomycetaceae.
ACGAAUGGCCUUAGGCCUUCAACCUUGUAAACCUGUGGAAGCAAAACGUGCUUUGGCGCUUUUGGGCGCCAACUUUAUGCUUAGGUCAGUCUUGAUGUCUGAAUCAAAAACAAGAAACA